GGCCAAGCAAGAGUGGCAUACGGUGGAUGCCUUGGCACCAGGCGCCGAUGAAGGACGUGGGAGGCCGCGAUAGUCCACGGGGAGUUGUCAACCGAGCGGUGAUCCGUGGGUGUCCGAAUGGGGGAACCCAGCCCGAGUUGUGUCGGGUUGCCGCCGUCUGAAUGUAUAGGGCGGUUGGUGGUGACGCGGGGAAGUGAAACAUCUCAGUACCCGCAGGAAGAGAAAACAUGCCUUGGCACCAGGCGCCGAUGAAGGACGUGGGAGGCCGCGAUAGUCCACGGGGAGUUGUCAACCGAGCGGUGAUCCGUGGGUGUCCGAAUGGGGGAACCCAGCCCGAGUUGUGUCGGGUUGCCGCCGUCUGAAUGUAUAGGGCGGUUGGUGGUGACGCGGGGAAGUGAAACAUCUCAGUACCCGCAGGAAGAGAAAACAAGAGUGAUUCCCUGAGUAGUGGUGAGCGAAAGGGGAUGGUGGCUAAACCGCGUGCGUGUGAGAGGCGGCAGCCGUUGCGUGCGUGGGGUUGUGGGGUUGCGUUGUGUCCGGUCUGCCGGCUGGGCGCGCUGGUGGUUGCUGUAGUCGAAGCCGUUGGGAAGCGGUGCCGGAGUGGGUGAGAGUCCCGUAGGCGAAGCGGUGAUCAUUGGUGUGGACGUUGUCCCCGAGUAGCGCGGAGCUCGUGGAAUUCCGUGUGAAUCCGGCAGGACCACCUGUCAAGCCUGAAUACGUCCUGGUGACCGAUAGUGGACGAGUACCGUGAGGGAAAGGUGAAAAGUGCCCCGGUGAGGGGUUGUGAAAGAGUACCUGAAACCGUGUGCUGUCAAGCCGUCAGAGCUUCGCUUUGGUGCGGGGUGAUGGCGUGCCUUUUGAAGAAUGAGCCUGCGAGUCGUGGUGUGUGGCGAGGUUAACCCGGGUGGGGUAGCCGUAGCGAAAGCGAGUCUGAACAGGGCGGUUGAGUCGCAUGCUGUGGACCCGAAGCGGGGUGAUCUACCCAUGGCCAGGGUGAAGCGGAGGUAAGACUUCGUGGAGGCCCGAACCCACCAGGGUUGAAAACCUGGGGGAUGAGCUGUGGGUAGGGGUGAAAGGCCAAUCAAACUCCGUGAUAGCUGGUUCUCCCCGAAAUGCAUUUAGGUGCAGCGUCGUGUGGUGCU
RNAcentral lists this ribosomal RNA (1142 nucleotides) under Streptomonospora sp. PA3. RNAcentral's name for it is "partial 23S ribosomal RNA". The stretch from base 197 to 1142 matches the Rfam family "Bacterial large subunit ribosomal RNA", at positions 1 to 893 of the family's 2925-position model. Lineage: Bacteria; Bacillati; Actinomycetota; Actinomycetes; Streptosporangiales; Nocardiopsidaceae. The record is from RNAcentral.